UACAGAGGGUGCGAGCGUUAAUCGGAUUUACUGGGCGUAACGCGUGCGUAGGCGGCUUUUUAAGUCUGAUGUGAACUCCCCGAGCUUAACUUGGGAAUUGCAUUCGAUACUGGGUAGCUAGAGUAUGGGAGAGGAUGGUAGAAUUUCAGGUGUAGCGGUGAAAUGCGUAGAGAUCUGGAGGAAUACCGAUGGCGAAGGCAGCCAUCUGGACUAAGACUGACGCUGAGGUACGAAAGCGUGGGGAGCAAACAGG
Molecule: unclassified non-coding RNA, 253 nt
Filed under: uncultured Moraxellaceae bacterium
Lineage: Bacteria; Pseudomonadati; Pseudomonadota; Gammaproteobacteria; Moraxellales; Moraxellaceae
Description: contains 16S-23S intergenic spacer region
Rfam family: Bacterial small subunit ribosomal RNA
Source: RNAcentral